GUCUCUUUGAAAAUUUAAUAAUAAAGAGUUUGGCCUGCUCAGUGAGAUUUUUAACAGCUGCGGUAUUAUAACUGUACUAAGGUAGCAUAAUAAUUUGCCUUAUAAAUUAAGGCUAGAAUGAAUGGUUUGACGAAAAUUAUACUGUCUCUAUUUUAAUUAAUAGAAAUUAAUUUUUAUAGUGAAAAAGCUUAGAUAAUUUAAAGGGACGAGAAGACCCUAUUGAGCUUUAUAUUAGUUAUAAUAAAUAAUAAAAAUAUAAUUUAUUUGGUUAAAUUAGUAUUAUGUUAAUAAUAUUUAUUAUGUUUAAUUUUGAUUGGGGUGAUCAAGGAAUAAAGUAGAUAUUAUUUAACUUCCUUAAAAUUUAAUUUUUUUAGAAUAAUUAACCAAUGAUAUUGCUUAUAUGAUAAGUUACCAUAGGGAUAACAGCGUAAUUUUUUUGGAGAGUUCAUAUUAAAAAAAGAGAUUGCGACCUCGAUGUUGGAUUAAAAUAACCAUAAGGUGAAGAGGCUUUAUUUGGUGAAUCUGUUCGAUUUUUAAAAUUUU
This 543-nucleotide ribosomal RNA is filed under the name Enteroctopus dofleini (giant Pacific octopus). RNAcentral's name for it is "partial 16S ribosomal RNA". It matches the Rfam family "Bacterial large subunit ribosomal RNA", at positions 1819 to 2597 of the family's 2925-position model. The record is from RNAcentral. Lineage: Eukaryota; Metazoa; Mollusca; Cephalopoda; Octopoda; Octopodidae.